GGCUUGUGGCUCAGUGGUAGAGUGCUUAUCUUGCAUGUGUGAGGCACUGGGUUCGAUCCUCAGCACCA
Molecule: transfer RNA, 68 nt
Filed under: Marmota monax (woodchuck)
Lineage: Eukaryota; Metazoa; Chordata; Mammalia; Rodentia; Sciuridae
Description: tRNA.Ala
Rfam family: tRNA (bases 5-65)
About the family: Transfer RNA (tRNA) molecules are approximately 80 nucleotides in length.
Source: RNAcentral